CUGUCUAACCUACAGUACCUCUACCUGUCUAGCCUACACCUGCCUAGCCUACAUCUGCCUGUCUAACCUGCCUGUCUAACCUACACCUGCCUGUAUAACCUGCCUGUCUAACCUACACCUACCUGUCUGACCUGCCUGUCUAACCUACGCCUACCUGUCUACCAAACACCUAUCUGUAUAACCUGACUGUCUGACCUACACCCACCUGUAUAACCUGACUGUCUGACCUACACCCACCUGUAUAACCUGACUGUCUGACCUACACCCACCUGUUUAACCUGACUGUCUGACCUACACCCACCUGUUUAACCUGACUGUCUGACCUACACCCACCUGUAUAACCUGACUGUCUGACCUACACCCACCUGUACAACCUACCCGUCUGACCUACACCCACCUGUACAACCUACCCGUCUGAUCUACACCUACCUGUAUAACCUGACUGUCUGACCUACACCCACCUGUACAACCUACCCGUCUGACCUACACCCACCUGUACAACCUACCCGUCUGAUCUACACCUACCUGUAUAACCUACCCAUCUGACCUACACAUACCUGUCUGACCUACACCUACCUGUCUAACCUACCCGUCUGAGCCAACUGGGUUCAUGUUGGUAUUCACUUAGAAACAUCAGAAAUUAUGAAUGAAUGAAUGAUGUAAAAAAAAAUGCAUCCUUCUUUAUGUGAAAUGUAUGUUUUAUUAUUUCACACACUCUAAAAAGGGUUAUACUGUCUGGAUGAAGGUCAGGGUUAUCACUCCAUACAUCAUAUCCUGUUUCACUCAAGUCCAUCAGUGUACAGAAGGAAAUAUUUAGUGUUUCAUUUCCUUUGUUGAGUUUAACACACUGUAUUGGUGCUCUUCGUGGUGGGGCUUAAUAGAUCAGAUUACAGCGUGAUCUGUGCGUGCUGUUGACUUUACCUCAGUGUCCGUGUUUAACCAGCGGCCCAUGUCCGGGUCUUCGACAAGUUCUCUUUCUUUAGCGAUGAUGUGAGAAUUGUUUGCGGAAGGCGAGGAUCAGACCUUGUGGUGCUUAAAGAUACAGACAAUUCACCUAAAAGGAAGUCAGCUGAUAUCUGAGCCGGGCCUCGCAUAAAACCCUGUUGUUAUCACGGACGAGUGUUCGCACCUUUCUCAAGGACCUUUGGAAAAACACACACACUGCGUUCAGCAUCUAGAAACUGUCGCUCCGACAUCACCAUAGUCACUGCUUCACCUAUGACUGUCACAAAGCCCUGACUCUGGAGACUCCUUCCAUAAAUGUUACAUAAACAAACAUCUUACAGAAAACUUCUUUUUAUAUGAAACAUCUGCUGUACAAGUUCUUGCGUAUAAGCUGUUCAUACAGAAAAGAUAAUGUAUUUGAACAAGUGCAUUAAAAUGAGUUCAUAAUGAUAUGAUAAUGUAGUUCAUGUUUGAAUUGUCUUUUGAGGCAGCUGUAAUUAUGUACACAUGCACACACAUUUUCUGCACUGUGCUAAACUGGAGGCUACAGUGUUCCAGCUUUCAGGAACACUUCACAUGGUUACUCAGGUGUGUGAAUAAUCUUUCAUCGCUACUGAGAUCCACAGUGCAGAACUCAAACUAACAUUCAAACAAACAAAACAAACUAUUACAUAACACUGACUGCGGGGGGGGUCUGAGGAGAUGUCCUUAAUCAUGUUGUUGCACUUGCAUCUCUCUCUCUCUCUCUCUCUCUC
Tachysurus fulvidraco (yellow catfish) is the source of this 1700-nucleotide long non-coding RNA. RefSeq lists it as uncharacterized. NCBI's taxonomy places the organism in Eukaryota, Metazoa, Chordata, Actinopteri, Siluriformes, Bagridae. The record is from RefSeq and is a predicted model, not a curated record. The transcript has 3 exons.